CAACGUCGGAGUUGAAAGAGGACCAUCACAUCAGUCAAGUAUUUCCCUUCUUUCACAUAGGUGCUAACUGUUGGAUACGUUAUCGCCUAAGCGUGCGUUGUUUAAAUUCACUAUGGCUCCAAAACGUGAGAAUACUGCGUCCGAUGGAAGUGCCACUAGGAGGAGGAAGACUAUAUCAUUGGAGAUGAAAUAUGACAUCGUUAAGCGUUCUUUAAAAGGUGAGAACAACACCGACAUCGGCCGGGCCCUUGGUUUGAGUAGAACUACUGUUCAGACAAUAGUUAAGGCUAAGGAACGUGUCUUACAACAUAUGAAAGGUGGUGCUUCAAUGAUGGCUGGUACACAUUGUAGUACGUAUAGAAUAGGCAAGCAACAUAACACCAACAUUAUAGAGAUGGAGAGGUUAUUGAUGGUCUGGCUCGAAGACCAAAACCAACGAAAUGUCCCGGUGAGCUAUGAUUUGAUUCGGGAGAAGGCUCUGGAGUUGCAUGAGGCAGUAGUAUUGAAGAGGGGGAAAGGUAGUGAAAGUGUAACAUUUGCAGCCAGCAAGGGCUGGUUUCAUCGUUUCAGGUCUCGUGCAAAUUUGCACAAACACCUCAAUGUGAAUGGGGCCUGGGUGAGCCCAAAUUUUGUGAUGGACUUCCCUGGCUUUGAGAAGGGAGAUAGUCUUGAUGCUGUUCAGUAUAGUAUUAAGGUCAAAAUGGAGGUGGAAGCUGAUGUAACAGAGGUGCUGCAAUGCUAUGGAGAGGAGCUGUCAGCAGACUAUCUCUUUGAGCCGAAACAGCAGAUGAUCGAGGACGAGGAGGAUGAAGAGGCACCAUCCCAAAAGGCUCAGUUAUUAAGUCCCAAGAGCUUGUCACAUCCUGUGGCCCAUAUUGGGCAAGGGCUGGCAAUAAGUGAGGAAAAGGAUCCUAAUGUGGAAAGGUCUACAAAGCUUCGGAGAACAAAAAGUCUCAUUCAAUCUACGCUAGAGCUAUACGGCUUUAAGAUAUUAAAGUCUCCAGAACCACCUGCCACUCCUAACGGAGAAGAGAAGUCCCAUCUUGAUAACGCUGAACCUGUCAUGAUUGUACCUGUAGUAUCCCCACCAGCCUCUCCUGGAUUGAGUUGCCACCUUCGAAGUGAUGACCCUUCACUAUAUGACCCACCAGCCUCUCCAACUCUGUCUGAAUUUGGCAGAAUGUUCCUAAGUGAUGACACAGCUUCCCUUGCUGAAUCCUUUGAAGGUUUCCCAGCUCCAUCAACUAAACCCCCUCCAGCUUCAACAGGGUUGAGUCACCACCUUCGAAGUGAUGACCAUUCACCCUGGUCGGUGUUUCCCCGCAUUUUUUGAGUGCCGACCAUUUCCCAAAAAUUUUCAAGUACAAAAUAUGACACAUUCUCCGAGUUAAGGAUUUAUGAGUAUACCAUAGAUUUGCGUAAUGGGCCCUAAUAAGGAACCACCAGCCAAAAAGAAAAAGAAUAGCUAUGAAAACUGCUGUAUAUUUUGUGAUACUUCUCUUACGAAGUCAUGCCCUGAUGAUCCAAUUGUUGCGAAUCCCACCAAACAAGGGUUUGAAACUAUUUUUCAUGCAGCACAACUUCAUCAAGAUUAUGUGGUUAGUAGACUUUCACCUAUUUGGGAUGACAUUCUAAAAGAAGUGGUUAAGAUCAGGUAUCACAAAACUGUAGAGCUAAUUAUACAACAAAAAGAAACAUAGUUUAUGCAAAAAGAAGCACUACUGAAACUGAUAACCAAAUGGAGAGGCUAUCUUGUCUUUCACGACUCAAGAGGUUAAAUACUUCAAAAUUCAAUGCGAGAUCUGACUGCUUUAUCUGUGGAAAGUCAUUUAAGUGGAAAGAAAAACUCAUACCAAUAUCAACUGGUAAGGAGAAUCUACUCGUAACCGUGUGUUAAUGCAGCAAUAGAAAGAGAUGAUGAUGAAAUAAAAAUCCAAAUACUUGCAUAACCUGACAUUUUUGCAAUGGAUGCAAAGUACUACCGUUCUUGUUAUUCUCAUUUUAUUAGUGAGAAUAAUAUCAAGGCAGCUAAAGGGAAAAAGCUGCCAUACAAGAAAAAUUUUACGAGGAUCCAGCUUUCAAUCUUCUGUGUGAGUAAAUUAAAUUAACUGUUGAGUCCACUACACAUACAAUCACAGCACUUUCCUCUCUUAAUGAGCAAUUAUCUAACUGGUAAGGAGCUUGGGAGCAGUAAUAUUUAUUCAAUCAGAAUCUAAAAGUUAAACUGGUUAAUUAUUUUGGUGAAAAACUUUCAUUAAUUUCGCAAUCUUGUUUGCUCUGGGGAUGUUAGUAUUGGUGAAAUCUUACAAAGGGUUGUCCAGUUGCAAAUGAGUGUGGAUGAAUUUGGCAAGUGUGAAGGAUUUUAAUAAUGAUACACUAAUCCUGCUCAAGGCUGCUGGUAUUAUUUGCAAAAUGAUCUCCGGAAUCACAUCCCAGUCACAAGGGUACACCCCAAGUGGAAAAGUAAAUAUUAGUGAGUCUAGCCUUUGUUUCAAAUGCCCUCCAUGAUUUCAUAGUUUGGUGUACAUCAAAGAAAGGUUUUGAUGAGGCAAUCACAAUGCAGAAAGUGAUUUGAGCAACAAUGACCUUAAAAUCCAUGCAAUUUGCCAUGAUUUUAUUUCUUUGGGAUGUAAGGUUGCAAUGUCUAUCUUUCUCACUAGGUAUUAGGAUGCAUCAUGAGCUAGAAGUAGAGAGAUUAUUGAUGACCUGCAUAGUUGCGAACACUCCAUUAGUUAAGAUGACAUUCGUAGAUUCCUCACUUCAGUUGCAGAAGAUCAGCUCUCCUCGCAGGAAGGAAUAUUUGUUCCAAAGGACCUUUCUCCAUUUGACCCAAAAAAUUCUUACAUUACACUUGAUGCAGCAAUUGAUAAUUUUGACAGGAAUGAAGAGACUAUAGAUGGAAAAAAUACUACCCACUCUAUGGCCAUAGAAGUUUAUCAAAGAUCACCAUAAAAUGAACCUGAAAUACCUGACCCUACUUGAAAUGAAUGGAAUGUAUGUAUCAAUGGACUUCAACCUAUUCUGUAUAAAAGUGAAUCUGCUCCAGUAGAAUUGAGGGAAAUUAUCCACUUGUACUGCACAGACAAAUGUUGCAAAGGACAUGUGUCAAUGCAGACAAGCUGGUCUAGAGUGUAUAGAGGUCUGUUCCUGGUUAUCUCAGCAGUGGGAUAAUCCAUUCAAAAAGAAGGAACAAAAGGUUGAGGGUAUUGGAACUGAAAGAGAUUUUGAUGACAAGAUUUAAUGUGAACCAAUGUUAGAAUUUUUAGACCUGUUUCAUGUUUCUGAAAUUAUAUCUCUGCUGAUAAACUUGGGUAAUACUUCAAUACUUCAUUUAUUUAUUAUUAAGUAUUAAAUGUAAGAAUAAUUGUUUUGUUUGAGGAAAAAAAAAACAAAUUACCUCACCUCUUUGCAAAUUCACUAUUUCAUUGAUGAUGUAACUUGUACUCCUUACCUCUGUUAGUCAUUUAGAGUUAACUAUUAUGUUGAUACUUGUAUUUCCAAUCACAUCUGCUAGUCAUUUAGAGUUAGCUAUUAAGUUGAUACUUUUACUAUUUCCAAUCACAUCUGCUAGUCAU
Macrobrachium nipponense is the source of this 3575-nucleotide RNA transcript. RefSeq lists it as uncharacterized. The transcript is spliced from 7 exons. NCBI's taxonomy places the organism in Eukaryota, Metazoa, Arthropoda, Malacostraca, Decapoda, Palaemonidae. The record is from RefSeq and is a predicted model, not a curated record.